Molecule: long non-coding RNA, 1280 nt
Filed under: Phasianus colchicus (ring-necked pheasant)
Lineage: Eukaryota; Metazoa; Chordata; Aves; Galliformes; Phasianidae
Description: lncRNA (ENSPCLG00000019712.1)
Source: RNAcentral
GGGGCCGGGGGGGCGGGGGUCCCUCGUGUGGGGCGGAGGGAGCCGUCAUGUGGGGCUGAGGGAGCCGUCAUGUGGGGCAGAGAGAGACCUGAUGUGGGGCAGAGAGAGACCUGAUGUGGGGCACAGGGAGACCUGAUGUGGGGCAGAGGGAGACCUGAUAUGGGGCAGAGGGAGCCGUCAUGUGGGGCGGAGAGAGCCGUCAUGUGGGGCUGAGGGAGAUCUCAUGUGGGGCGGAGAGAGACCUGAUAUGGGGCUGAGAGANNNNNNNNNNNNNNAGACCUGAUGUGGGGCACAGGGAGACCUGAUAUGGGGCGGAGGGAGCCGUCAUGUGGGGCGGAGAGAGACCUGAUAUGGGGCAGAGGGAGCCCUCGUGUGGGGCAGAGGGAAACCUGAUAUGGGGCAGAGGGAGCCGUCAUGUGGGGCUGAGGGAGAUCUCAUGUGGGGCAGAGAGAGACCUGAUGUGGGGCAGAAAGAGCCCUGAUAUGGGGCACAGAGAGCCGUCAUGUGGGGCUGAGAGCCGUCAUGUGGGGUGGAGAGAAACCUCCUAUGGGGCAGAGAAAUUUCUGAUAUGGGGCAGAGAGAGCCCUGAUAUGGGGCUGAGAGAGACCUGAUGUGGGGCACAGAAAGCCCUGAUGUGGGGCACAGAGAGCCGUCAUGUGGGGCUGAGAGAGCUCUGAUAUGGGGUGAGAGAUCUUUCCUAUGGGGCAGGGGGGGCCUCUUGUGGGGUGGCUAUGGGGCAGCUGUGGGGCAGCUAUGGGGUGGCCAUGGGGUAGUUAUGGGAUAUCUAUGGGGCAGCCAUGGGGCGGCCAUUGGGCAGCUAUGGGGCGGCCGUGGGGCAGCUAUGGGAUAUCUAUGGGGCAGCCAUGGGGCGGCUGUGGGGUGGCUAUGGGAUAUCUAUGGGGCAGUUAUGGGGCGGCUAUGGGGUGGCCGUGGGGCGGCUAUGGGGCAGCUAUGGGAUAUCUAUGGGGCAGCCAUGGGGCAGCUAUGGGGCAGUUAUGGGGUGGCCGUGGGGCGGCUAUGGGGCAGCUAUGGGGUGGCCGUGGGGCGGCUAUGGGAUAUCUAUGGGGCAGCUAUGGGGCGGCUAUGGGGCGCUGCAGGGCUGGUUUGCCGCAGGCAUUGAGCCCACGGGGAACGUGGUGAAGCAGCGCGCAGAAUUCACCGUGGAGACCAUCAGCGCCGGGCAGGGCGACGUCACCGUCUACGUCGAGGACCCCGACGGACAUCGCGAGGAGGUGGCCUGGGGGGCCGGGGACUUGGGGGGCACCCUGGGGGGCUGGGGG